This is a non-coding RNA of Pelobates cultripes (western spadefoot toad), 1774 nucleotides long. The record is from the annotation of a GenBank genome assembly. Lineage: Eukaryota; Metazoa; Chordata; Amphibia; Anura; Pelobatidae.
CUUUUAUUAAUAACCAAUUUCCAUUCAUGUGGGAAAAGCUGAAAUCCAAGAAAAAAACUAAAACAAACGCUGGUUUGAGCUUUAUCUAAACUGACAAAGAUGAUUCAAUUUUGAUAUAGUGUAUUCAAAUGGGGGAACAUUGUAGGUCUGCCCUUUAAAAUGCAUAAUGCUGUGUGCAAUGCAUUGUAAUUCAUGAUAUUGGUUGCUUCCUCCCAUUGCUGUUAACUCUGCAUGACUGCAUUUUCUCAGACUGGAGACCUCAUCUUCUAUAUAUAUUAGUUGGCAGGAAAGGGAUUGGUUCCAAAAGGGAUAGAAGUAGACCACGCUCAAGGUUGACAGGAAGAGAUGCAUUAAGGGAUGGGGCUUUAUCUGCAUUGGGAACGGUAAUGGGUGACUCUGCCGCUCUUGUACUGCCACAUGCUCGUAGUUCUCAGUAAUGCAUGACUCUAAACCGGUCUGCAUGUUGAAUGAAAAUAUUGUUUUUUAUAAAACUAAAAGCAUGAAUUCCCUAAUAUCCAUGGUGAUUACAUUUGCUAUGUUAAGUGACUUUGUCUACAUGACCUGCAGUGCCACUUAGCUCUCUUUCUCUCUCUUUACCAACGUUUCAGCAAUAUCUGCCAUAUAAUGUUAAUAAUAAACCUUUACGUGAAUGAGACCGCCACAGGUCACUGUUCGUGAUGAAGGGCCAGCAGUGAUUUGAUGUAAAUCAUGUUUUUAUGAAAAAAAUCAACAGAGACAAAUUCAAAUAUGUUACUGGUUCUAGAACAUAAAGCAAGUAAUGAGUUACAUUUAGAGACAUAAACAAUACAGCUUAUCUGUUUUAUAAGCUGUAUUCUCAUAAAAAAAUAAAUGUAUUCUAAUUCUCUGUUAUUGGAAUUAUUGUCAGAAUUGAGGAGGAAUCAUAACAUUUUAGGCCAGAAUAGUAAAAUUGGAGAAAAAAAUACCAGGUUUUUUUUUUUUUUCAAGUCCAACUUUUUUUUUUACCAAAUUUUCAAAAGUUUCUGGUUUAUUAGAAUAAAACAGUGUUGGAUACAGUACUACUUAUAUUAUGGACCGUGACAAGAAAAAUAUUUACAACUCAAAAGUACAGGAUAGUCUUCUUAAAAUUGAAAAUGUGCCCUUAUUAGAACAACCAAAAGGCAAUCUGGUAAUGUUUGGAUUUAAAAGUGAGUCUUUUGUCAAGUACACAUUUUACCACAUUUGACCACAUUUGUCAAAAUGUCAAUAUUUAUUUCAUAGCUGUCAUUGGUUGCUUCUUUGUUUUCAAAAUUCUUAGAGGGAACAUGUUGUUACCAAGGAGCCUCCGUAGGUCAGUGUUACAUUUCAGUGAAAAAUUAUAUUUGUUUCAACCACUCCUUACCCAAAUUAACCUCCUGUCUGUACAUUUCUGACCACUGAAGAGGAUACCAUAACCAGACAAAUUUUACCCACUACACCAUAUAAGGACUCUGAAGCUUUACUUACCGCCCACUGACAUGAUGUGUUAUGGCUCCUGAUGUUGGUCUACCAAUGAGAAAACAAGGAAAGUGGCACUGCAGCUGUAAUUUUAGAAAAAUUUUAAUUUUAUUUUUGCUGUUAAUUUUUGUUCAGGGCAUUGAAUAAAAAAAAAAAAUGUAUGACCACUGUGAUUUAUUUAAAAAAUAACAAUAAAUAAGCUUUGUGAUUUUUUUUCACAAUACUUUGUGGUCAAAAAUAUAUAUUUGUGACGGUAAUAUUUUCAGUGCCAAAUAUAUGAGCAGUAAUGUCUGACAAAAUAAAAAUAAUUACAAAAAAA